RNAcentral lists this long non-coding RNA (3105 nucleotides) under Mytilus galloprovincialis (Mediterranean mussel). The record is from RNAcentral. Lineage: Eukaryota; Metazoa; Mollusca; Bivalvia; Mytilida; Mytilidae.
UUUUGGUUGAUUUUGCUUGUAUGUGGUUUCUUAGAUGGCUAUCAUUAUGGGUUUUUGUUUGGUGAUUUUGCUUGUACGGUGGUUUCUAUAUGCUAUUGUAUUUGUUUUUUUGGUUGAUCGCUUGUUAAGCGGGUUUCUUAAAAGCAUGGCUAUGAUUAUGGUUUUUUUGGUUGAUUUAACGCUUGUAUGUGGGUUUCUUUAGAUGGCUAUCAAUGUUUUUUUGGUUGUGAUUUUCGCUUGUAGGUGGUUUCUUGAUGGCUAUUGUAUGGUUUUGCGUUGAUUUCGCUUGUAUGUUGUUUCUUAGAUGGCUAUCAUAUGUUUUUAAGUUGAUUUCCUUGUAGGGGGUUUCUUAGAUGGCCUAUUGUAUGGUUUUUUUUUGUUGAUUUCGCUUGUAGUGGUUUCUUAGAUGGCUAUUAUAUGUUGUUUUGGUUGAUCGCUUGGUAUGUGGUUUCUUAGAUGGCUAUUUUAUAUGUUUUUUUUGGUUGAUUUCGCUUGUAUGUGCCGUUUUACUUAGAUGCUAUUCAUAUUUUUUUUGGAUUGAUUUUGGCGUUGUAGGUGGUUUCUUAGAUGGCUAUUUGUAUGUUUUUUUGGUGGAUUCGCUUGUAGGUGGUUUCUUAAAGAUGGCUAUUAUAUGUUUUUGGUUGAUUCGCUUGUAUGUGCGUUUCUUAGAUGGCCUAUCCAUAUGUUUUUUUUGGAUUGAAUUUCGCGUUGUAGUGGUUUCUUAGAUGGCUAUUGUAUGAUCUUUUUGGUUGCAUUUCGGCUUGUAGGUGGUUUCCUUAGAUGGCUAUUAUAUGUUGUUUGCGUUGAUUUCGCUUUGUAGUGGUUUCUUAGAUGGCUGAUUAUAUGUUUUUUUUUGGUUGAUUUCGCCUUGUAUUUUGUGGUUUCUUAGGAUGGCUAUCAUAUGUUUUUUUGAUUGAUUUUCUUUGUAGGUGGUUUCUUAUAUGCGCUAUUGUAUGUUUUUUUGGUUGAUUUCGCUUGCUAGGUGGUUUCUUAGGCAUGGCUAUCAUAUGUUUUUUUGCGUUGAUUUCGCUUGAUGUGUUUCUUAGAUGGCUAUCAUAUGUUUUUUUGGUAUUUUCGCUUGUAGGUGGUUUCUUAGAUGGCUAUUGUAGGUUUUUUUGGGCCUUGAUUUCGCAUUGUAUGUGGUGUCUUAGAUGGCUAUCAUAUUGUUUUUUGUUUGAUUUCGCUGUAAAGGUGGUUUCUGUAGAUGGCUAUUGUAUGUUUUUUUUUGUGUUGUUUCGUUGUAGGUGUUUCUAGAUGGCCUAUUAUAUGUGUUUUGUUGAUUUCGCUUGUAUGUGGUUUCUUAGAUGGCUAUAGGAUGUGUUUUUUGGUUUGGGAUUUCGCCUUUGUAUGUGGUUUCUUAGUGCUUAUCAUAUUUUUUUUUUGGUUGAUUUUGCUUGUAGGUUGGUUUCUUAGAUGGCUAUUGAUGUCUUCUUUUGGUUGAAUUUCGCUUUUGUUUAGGUGUUUCUUAGAUGGCUUUAUAUGUUUUUUUCGGUUUGAUUUUCGCUUGUAUGUGGUUUCUUAGAUGGCUACAUAUGAUUUUUUGGUUGAUUUCGCUUGUAGGUGGUUCUUAGAUGGCUUUGUAUGGUUUUUGGCGUUGAUUUUGGCUUGUAGUGGUUUCUUUGAUGGCUAUAUAUGUUGUUUUGGUUGCAUUUCGCUUGUAGGUGGUUUCUUAGAUGAUAUUAUAUGUUUUUUGGGUUGAUUUUCGCUUGUAUGGGUUUCUUUAGAUGGAUAUUAUAGUGUUUUUUGGUUGAUUCCGCUUGUAAGGUUGGUUUCUGGAUGGCUAUCAUAUGUUUUUUUGGUUGAUUUCGCUUGUAGUGGGUUUUUUAAGAUGGCUAUAUAUGUUUUUUGGCUUGAUUUCGCUUGUAGUGGUUCUUAGAUGGCUAUUAUAUGUUGUUUUGGUGAUUUCGCUGUAUGUGGUUUCUUAGAUUGGCUACUUAUAUGUUGUUUGCGUGAUUUCGCUUGUAGGUGGUUUCUUAGAUGGCUAUCAUAUGUUUUUUUGGUUUGAUUGUGGUGUAGGUGGUUUCUUAGAUGGAUAUUAUAUGUUGUUUUGGUUGAUUUCGCUUGUAUGGUUGUUCUUAGAUGGCUAUUAUACUGUUUUUGUGGUUGAUUUCGCUUAUUAGUGGUUUCUUAGAUGGCUAUUAUAAUGUUUUUGGUUGAUUUCGCUUGAGGUGCGUUUCUUAGAUGGCUUUAAUGUGUUUUGGUUGAUUUCGCUUGUAUGGUUUACUUAGAUGGCUAUUAUAUGUUGUUUUUGGUUGAUUUCGCUUGUAGUGUGGUUUCUUAGAUGGUAUUAUUAUGUUGUGUUGGUGAUUCGCUUGUAGGUGGUUUCUUAGGAUGGCUAUCAUAUGUUUGCGUUGAUUUUGGAUUGUAUGUGGUUUCUUAGAUGAUAUUAUAGUUUUUUUUGGUUGAUUUCGCUUGUAGGUGGUUUCUUAGAUGGCUAUUAUAUGUUGUUUUGGUUGAUUUUGCUUGUAUGUGGUUUCUUAGAUGGCUAUCAUAUGUUUUUUUGGUUGAUUUCGCUUGUAUGUGGUUUCUUAGAUGGCUAUCAUAUGUUUUUUUUGGUUGAUUUCGCUUGUAGGUGGUUUCUUAGAUGGCUAAUAUAUGUUGUUUUGGUUGAUUUUGCUUGUAUGUGGUUUCUUAGAUGGCUAUCAUAUGUUUUUUUGGUUGAUUCCGCUUGUAGAUGGUUUCUUAGAUGGCUAUUGUAUGUUUUUUUGGUUGAUUUCGCUUGUAUGUGGUUUCUUAGAUGGCUAUUGUAUGUUUUUGUGGUUGAUUUCGCUUGUAGGUGGUUUCUUGGAUGGCUAUUAUAUGUUUUUGGUUGAUUUUGCUUGUAGGUGGUUUCUUGGAUGGCUAUUAUAUGUUUUUUUUGUUGAUUUCGCUUGUAGGUGGUUUCUUAAUGGCUAUCAUAUGUUUUUUUGGUUGAUUUCGCUUGUAGGUGGUUUCUUAGAUGGCUAUUAUAUGUUGUUUUGGUUGAUUUUGCUUGUAUGUGGUUUCUUAGAUGGCUAUCAUAUGUUUUUUUGGUUGAUUUCGCUUGUAUGUGGUUUCUUAGAUGGCUAUCAUAUGUUUUUUUUGGUUGAUUUCGCUUGUAGGUGGUUUCUUAGAUGGCUAAUAUAU